This 422-nucleotide ribosomal RNA is filed under the name uncultured bacterium. Its description in RNAcentral is "bacterial SSU rRNA". It matches the Rfam family "Bacterial small subunit ribosomal RNA", at positions 355 to 774 of the family's 1533-position model. The record is from RNAcentral.
UAAGGAAUAUUGCGCAAUGGAGGCAACUCUGACGCAGCCAUGCCGCGUGCAGGAAGAAGGCCUUAUGGGUCGUAAACUGCUUUUAUUUAGGAAUAAACUCUCGUUCGUGAACGAGACUGAAGGUACUAAACGAAUAAGCACCGGCUAACUCCGUGCCAGCAGCCGCGGUAAUACGGAGGGUGCAAGCGUUAUUCGGAAUCACUGGGCGUAAAGGACGCGUAGGCGGGAAGCCAAGUCUGAUGUGAAAUCCUAUGGCUUAACCAUAGAACUGCAUUGGAAACUGGUUACCUAGAGUAUGGGAGGGGGAGAUGGAAUUAGUGGUGUAGGGGUAAAAUCCGUAGAUAUCACUAGGAAUACCGAAAGCGAAGGCGAUCUCCUGGAACAAUACUGACGCUAAGGCGUGAAAGCGUGGGGAGCAAACG